CUUUUAUUGAAUAUUGACUAUUACAUGUCAUAUUUUUAUUGGACGUUAAUUUUAUACACUUAAUUAACGUUAACAUCCAAUAAAAAUGUAACACAUGACAAUCAAAGUUU
Molecule: non-coding RNA, 110 nt
Organism: Glycine soja
Lineage: Eukaryota; Viridiplantae; Streptophyta; Magnoliopsida; Fabales; Fabaceae
Source: Rfam